GGCGAGUUAUACAAAUCUUUGACCAAUCCAUUCACAAAAUAUAUACUGAACAAAAAUCUAAAUGCAACACGUAUAUUUUUGGUCAUAUUAUUUAUAAGCUGAGAAAGAAUAUAACGAAAUAUUCCAUAACACAGAAAAUAUCCCUCAAAUGUUGUGCACAAAUUGGUUUGUUCAGUGUACAAAAAUGUCAUAUCAUCCCUCAUUUGUGGGUUCUAGAUGAGCUGACAUUUCAAAGAUGUUCAGCUUGAUAUGUUUUACUUUUAUUUAAAAUCAGAACAGCAUAUACUGCAUGAAUCUCUUUAUUGUAAUAAGUGUAAACAUAAUUGCAAAUGGCUUAUGAAUGGUCAUGCAAAGCAAACCCUCAAAUAAUUUUUGUGUUUAAAUGUGUAUACCCUAUGUAUAUAGUUUGUCUUGUUUUUGUACACUGCAAUAUAAGAUUUUAAAACCAUUAUGCAAUGUGUGAAAUGACUCAUUAACUUGUUACUAGUCAAUUGCUUCAAAUUUACAAAACAUAUGCAGACUCUUCAACAUGUACAGGGGAAAGGCUAUAAACAAAGCAGGUUUGUUUAGUAUGCGAUUGCAGUUUCGCAAAAGAGCAAAAACUUACACUGGAAAGUUUAAUAAUGUAUUCAUCUCACAAGAAUACAACAUCUCAUAUAGGCCAUAGUGAAUAAUGGUGAAUAAAAAAAUAUGAUGGUACAUACUAAAAUGUUACUGCCUACCUAUGCUAAAAUCAUUACACAUACUUUGAGCUAUGCCACAUUUACAGUUUACAUCAUUCACUUCAAUCGUAAUUCUUUAAACAACUGUUAAAAAUGUAUUCCGGUGUUCAGCUAAGGCCCUGCAUAAGAAGUCAUUUGGUGCCAUCUUCUUUCAAUAUUCAAAGUCAGCAACAGUGCUUCAAUAGCAAUCAUACUGUGAUGAUACAUAUAUUAUACAUACACAGUACCAGUCAAAAGUUUGAACACAUCCACUUGACUGUGUAAAUACUCGGGUCGGCUCCAGACAUAUGCGACAGAAGCGGUCACUUAGGGCCCCCAACCACUAGGGGUCCUCCAACUGCUAGGGAGCCCCCAAACGUAAGGGGAAGGGGCCCAAAAUAAAACAUUUCUAUGGGCCCCCAAAAGGCUAGAGUUGGCAUUGUACAUACUUGUACUACUGUAUAUAAAACAGCAUUAAAACCCAAUCUAUUAUCUGAUUCCCCAGUCUUUAUAUAUAAUGCCCACUUUCCUGUGUUGCUGUAAGUGCCUCCUUGCCACCCUCUUGCAGUGGCAUGUUCACGUACUCCUCCUCCCUGGAAAGAGGAGCCUCAGAAUCAGCCUGUGAGGAACCUGUGGGGGUGCUGCUCGUAGGGGUGGAGCACAGCCCGUUUCCAAUGUUCACAGGAUAGUUAACGGUGAUGUUGACAUUAACCAGGGGGCUGGAUGGCAGGGAGCUGUUUGAUUGGCAGUUGCUGGGCUGGGGGGUGCUGACCAGGGUGCUGGGCUGUUGGAGGCUGGACUGGAGGGUGCUAGGCUGUUGGAGGCUGGACUGGAGGGUGCUAGGCUGGGGGGUGUUGACCGGGGUGCCAGGCUGUUGGAAGGUGGACUGGAGGGUGCUAGGCUGGGGGGUGUUGACCGGGGUGCCAGGCUGUUGGAAGGUGGACUGGAGGGUGCUAGGUUGUUGGAGGCUGGACUGGAGGGUGCUAGGCUGGGGGGUGCUGACCAGGGUGCCAGGCUGUUGGAAGGUGGACUGGAGGGUGCUAGGCUGGGGGGUGUUGACCGGGGUGCCAGGCUGUUGGAAGGUGGACUGGAGGGUGCUAGGCUGUUGGAGGGUGGACUGGAAGAUGCUGGGCUGUUGAAGUGGAGACAGGGGGUCUACUGACAGGCCCUCCAGGCUGUUGAAGCACCCUGAUCCCAUUGUAGUGCCCUGCAGGGUCUCUGGCUGACUGGCCUCGUUGCUGCCUCCCAGAAGAAACGUCUUUUCCUGACAGAUGGUUUUGAUUGAACUGUUGCAAACAACUAAUGGCCCAUCACUAUCAAACUGAGAGAGAGCGAGAGAGACAGAGAGAGAAAUAAUUUGUUCAAGUUCAAGGAAUCAAAAUGUUCUUGUUCUUAGAUGUCAAAACAUAACUCACUUUAAUUACUGCCUUCUCAGAAUUCUCUUCUGUAGCUCGUCUGAACUGGAUGAUGGCUAUAAGAGAACAAUAAACAAUUCAUGCCCAGAUCUGCAAUAAAAUCUGGGUUUUUACAAUCAAGAUCUGAUCCGUACAGCUUUACCUUUCUUGCAAAGGACCAUGCCUAAGACCAGCAAGAAAAAACCUGUCAUUACUCCAGCAACUGGUGGGGGGACAACAACAUAGACAUGUUAGUAGGGAGACUGAAGCAGAGGAACAUUCAAAACAGGAGUGUGACUCAUGGACCACAUCUAGUAGCUCUCUGGAUUUACCCAUCCAUGGGUCAAAGCCUGGUGAUUUGCCUUCUGUCGAAGCGACGACCAGCCAGUCAGUGGAUGCCAGCUUUGGGACUAGUUUGGUUGGUAGAGUAGACAGGCUCUGCAGACUUGGCUGGGUGUGCCCCCUACCAGACGGCAGCGUUGUCAACUGUGGCCGUGAAGGUGUGGUGGUUUUCGGUGAUUCAUUUAUCUUCAGUCCACAUAUCACAUUUGAGCUGGCAUUACCGUAAGUCAGUAUGGGCCUUCCCUGAGACUUGCAGCUGUGGAGACAGUGUCAGUCUAAUUGUUACAAAAAACAAGAACUGUGUGUGUUUGUGUGUCUGAGAGAGAGAUCCAGGUUUAUGUGUAAAGGUGAGGUCCAAACGUACCCGCAAAGAUAGUAAAACUUGACAAAUCGGCCCUGAGAAGGUCCACAAUACAAUAGAAAGAGAAAUGUAUGUGUUUGUGUGGGUCUGCACGAAUGUGAUUGACUCACUCUGUGUAGGGCUGACAUGCCUGGGUGUAGGAGUGUUGGUCUGAGAAGGUUCCGUUGGGGCAGGUUUCACAUUUCACAUCUGAAUCUGCUGUCCCUGAAACACCACAAGACAUCAUCAUGUAAAUUCUCAGAGUCAAUUGUAACAUUCACCUUUUCACGAUAAUAUAAGCUUUACUUGUUGGUUAUGAAAAUACAGUACACAUGUUAACA
Esox lucius (northern pike) is the source of this 3118-nucleotide long non-coding RNA. Lineage: Eukaryota; Metazoa; Chordata; Actinopteri; Esociformes; Esocidae. The record is from Ensembl.